GCAGCCCGGGCGGGCUUGGCCGGGAGACGCGGUGUGAGCUUGCUCCGCCUCCUGAACCCUUGACCUUGCGGAGGAGGAAGAAGUGAUGGCCAGGUUCCAGCCUACGGGGUGGAGAGAAUCGGUAAUUGCUCCUGCACCGAAAGCCAUUCGCUCCCGGAGAAGCAUGCCGCACGCCCAGGCCGGAGUGCAGGUCCUGGGCCAGGCCUUCGGAGGGGAGAGGCGGGCCUGCUCCUUCCUCCUCGUGCCGCCCUGUGUGGACCGGCGAUGCCCCCUUGUCUGGAGGCAGCCCAGGGUGGCCUGCACGCUCUCCGUCGCUCACAGCCUUCUGGAACUUCAUGAGAAUCGUGAUUUCGGAUGACAUCGGUAAGAUCACGUCGAGCACAAUCCCCUUCUGAGAGUGACUGGAACGCAGAUUUCACGGAAGGCUCUCGGUGACAGCAGGAGAGAGUGCAGAUGGCCUAGGAGGGGAGGAAGACCCCUAGGACCCGAAGCAGCGAAUGAGGAGUCGCUGAAGCUUUUACGGCAAGUGCGGAGUAAACAAAACUGCAUGUUUCAGAUGGAAAAUGUGGCAGAGACAUUAGGAGUGUGUAGAAAGUGUGUGGCAGCCGUCGAUGCCCGUAAGAAACCCGGUGCUUCAGCCACGGGGCGAGGGCGACCUCGCUCGGCGUCAUGGAAGCUCUAAGGGCUAUUUCCCAGGAAAGCUGUAGCAAAUGAGGGGAAUUGGUGGUGGGAAAUACAGUGUUCAUUUAUUCCCUCCCGGAAAAUACAGGUUCCAGGAUGGACUGUUCUGAAAAUGGAAAAGCGAUAUAAGAUAGGUAGGCGUUCCCUCUCAGCUCAGUGGUAAUGAACCCGACUAGGAUCCCUGAGGUUGUGGGUUCCAUCCCUGGCCUCACUCAUUGGGUUAAGGAUCCGGUGUUACCAUGAGCUGUGGUGUAGGUCGCAGAGGUGGCUCAGAGUUGCUGUGGCUGUGGCGUAGGCCAGCAGCUGUAGCUCUGAUUCAACCCCUAGCCUGGGAACAUCCAUAUGCCUCGGAUGCAACCCUAAAAAAAAAAAAAAAGAUAGGUAGCAAGGACCUACUGUUCAGCACGGGGUAAUCUACUCAAUACUGUGUAGUAAUCUACAUGGGGAAAGAAUCUGAAAAGGAACAAUACGUGUAUAUGUAUAGCUGAUUUACUUUGCUGUACCCUGAAACGAACACAACUUUCUAAGCCAA
This 1213-nucleotide long non-coding RNA is filed under the name Sus scrofa (pig). RNAcentral's name for it is "lncRNA (ENSSSCG00035021089.1, ENSSSCG00040049276.1)". The record is from RNAcentral. Lineage: Eukaryota; Metazoa; Chordata; Mammalia; Artiodactyla; Suidae.